Molecule: ribosomal RNA, 477 nt
Filed under: uncultured bacterium
Lineage: Bacteria
Description: bacterial SSU rRNA
Rfam family: Bacterial small subunit ribosomal RNA
Source: RNAcentral
GAUCAUGGCUCAGGAUUAACGCUGGCGGCGUGCCUAAUACAUGCAAGUCGAAUGGUAGCAAUACCAUGGCGAACGGGUGAGUAACACGUAGGUAACCUGUCUUUAAGCCGAGGAUAACCAUUGGAAACGAUGGAUAAUACUGGAUAGGACAUUUGAAGGCAUCUUUAGAUGUUUAAAGAUUUAUCACUUAGAGAGGGGCCUGCGGCGCAUUAGCUAGUUGGUGAGGUGAAGGCUUACCAAGGCGAUGAUGCGUAGCCGGACUGAGAGGUUGAACGGCCACAAUGGAACUGAGAACGGUCCAUACUCCUACGGGAGGCAGCAGUAGGGAAUUUUCGGCAAUGGGCGGAAGCCUGAACCCGAGCAACGCCGCGUGAACGAAGAAGUAUUUCGGUAUGUAAAGUUCUUUUAUUAGGGACGAAAAGACAGAUUGACGGUACCUAAUGAAUAAGCUCCGGCUAACUACGUGCCAGCAGCCGC